RNAcentral lists this ribosomal RNA (354 nucleotides) under uncultured Gammaproteobacteria bacterium. Its description in RNAcentral is "bacterial SSU rRNA". It matches the Rfam family "Bacterial small subunit ribosomal RNA", at positions 129 to 479 of the family's 1533-position model. Lineage: Bacteria; Pseudomonadati; Pseudomonadota; Gammaproteobacteria. The record is from RNAcentral.
CCUGGUAGUGGGGGACAACUCGGGGAAACUCGAGCUAAUACCGCAUACGCCCUACGGGGGAAAGCGGGGGACCUUCGGGCCUCGCGCUAUCAGAUGAGCCUGCGUUGGAUUAGCUAGUUGGUGGGGUAAUGGCCUACCAAGGCGACGAUCCAUAGCUGGUCUGAGAGGAUGAUCAGCCACACCGGGACUGAGACACGGCCCGGACUCCUACGGGAGGCAGCAGUGGGGAAUAUUGCGCAAUGGGCGAAAGCUUGACGCAGCCAUGCCGCGUGUGUGAAGAAGGGCUUCGGGUUGUAAAGCACUUUCAAUUGGGAGGAAAGGUUCACGGCUAAUACCCGUAGCCGUGACGUUACC